This 418-nucleotide ribosomal RNA is filed under the name uncultured bacterium. RNAcentral's name for it is "bacterial SSU rRNA". It matches the Rfam family "Bacterial small subunit ribosomal RNA", at positions 355 to 774 of the family's 1533-position model. The record is from RNAcentral.
UAAGGAAUAUUGCUCAAUGGGAGAAAUCCUGAAGCAGCAACGCCGCGUGGAGGAUGAAGGGUCUAUGACUUGUAAACUCCUGUAAAGAAGGAAAAAAUUCCCAUUUGAUGGGAGAUGAUGGUACUUCUGGAGUAAGCCCCGGCUAACUACGCCAGCAGCCGCGGUAAUACGUAGGGGGCAAGCGUUGUCCGGAUUUACUGGGUGUAAAGGGUGCUCAGGCGGAUUUGUAAGUCAGAGGUGAAAUCUUACAGCUUAACUGUGAAACUGCCUUUGAUACUGCAAGCCUAGAGUAUGGAAGAGAGUGAUGGAAUAUCUGGUGUAGCAGUGAAAUGCGUAGAUAUCAGAUAGAACACCAAUGGCGAAGGCAGUCACUUGGUCCAUUACUGACGCUAAAGCACGAAAGCGUGGGUAGCAAACA